This 4658-nucleotide long non-coding RNA is filed under the name Gallus gallus (chicken). The record is from RNAcentral. Lineage: Eukaryota; Metazoa; Chordata; Aves; Galliformes; Phasianidae.
CUGAGACCAAUUUAAGAGAGAAUAUUGUUCUAAAAUUCCCUGCUUGUUUUAUGCAAGCUAGUUUACUUUACCAGAGUACUGAUUAGUUAAUGAAGCAGUCCUGUGCUAAAUGAGUGCAGGUGGCAGUUACGAUUUCCCAGGCAUGAAUGCUUUCAGAGCAUGGUGUUGACUGAGCAAAUUGGGAAGCUGUUAGAAUGAAUGGGUGUAUUUGGGAAAUUGGCAGUGAACAGGUGGGCUGAAGACAGUGGAAUGAAUAUGAAAGACAUCUGGGAGUCUGAGCACCCAGCUUUCUCCCCUGUACUGGCAGAGCUGCAUGCACGAGGUCUGCGUUCUGUCAGUCCUGGAAAGAGCACCCUGCAAUGAAGGCAGAAGUGACAGCUGGAGGGGGACUUCGUGAGGGCAGUGUGUUUGAGGGCAUGAGUCUGAGCAGUGAGGCCUCUCAGUGCUUUGAGGAUCUCUUCCGGAGCCACCUUUUGCUGGAAGACUGUUUACCCUGCAGGACUUCUGCCUUGGUAUAUUUAAGGCAAGUGGGUCACAGCUGUGACUUGUUGAUCUUCACUUAGUCACUGAUUCUCUGCCUUCUCUUGCAGUUCCCCGGAAGCUUUGCUGAGGGACAGUCCCUGCAGAGCAAGCCUGAACUUCUUAAUCUGUCUCAAGGCUACUUAGAGACCUGUUACAGAUAGCAGAUUCUGGCUUCAAAACUACUGCCUGGAUUAAAGCAUGCUGCUAGAACAGAUGCUGGUGACAGCUGAGGAAAUCCUCCUGCAGUAAGUCAAGGCUUUUAGUUGAGCCAGGACACCUGGGCUGAGGCUUUGUAGCCUAACAGUCUCUCGUGUAAUGUGAAGGCCCUCUGUGUGAGGAGGUUCCAGUGGAGCUGGGACAGCAGCACGUUCCCUUUAUUGCCAUUUGUCCUGUGCCACAUGCUUCAGUGAAGGAGUUAUGUAAAUUCUGCAGGAAAAAAAGUCUUUAGGAAAUGUAUUGUGCUUUAGUCAGGAAACUUUCAGCUUUAAAAGAACAUUCUGGGGCUGUUGGGAAAUUAAAUCCUCAGACACCUCACCACUUACCCUGCAAUGCUCCCAGCACACCAUAGCUGGCAGUAGUUGAGCUUCUGAUGAAGCAAGGGUGGGAACCAGAACAUCUGAGUAAAGCUGCUUCCUCCUUCAGCUCCCCUGGGCCCCCUUGGGCAAGAGUAGAGAUGAAACAGGGAGAAGAAUACUUCUGAUUCAUCCAACCAUCCCCUGCCAGAGAGCCUUGUUCAUGUCUAGUCUGGUUCUGUUAUCUCACUGGGGUCCUGGUGUUUCCUUGGGAAGACUGUUUCACCAACUGUUAGGCUUCAUGACUAAGGAUUUCCCACCAGUCUUUUCAUUGCAUUACCGCCUUCCUCUGACUGCUAGAGUCAUCGUGGUGUGUGCCUGCUGCCCUGCAGAUAACAGCCUUGCAGAUCCAAAGGGAUUCUGAGAUUAUAUUUCCUCUUACGUACUGUUAUUUAGCUUUGUAUUUAAAGCUGUCAUUUCUUGCUUCUUGAUUAGCUCGCUGAUAGUAGGUAUUUCAACUACCGUUUGCUUUCUGAGGUUAAACCAGAGGUGGCAUUUGGCAGUAAGCAUCCCUCCUUGGGGCCUUUGGGUAUCACUGCAGGCUGAAUUUUCUCCCUCCCUCAGGUUCAGAGGUACAGUUGCAGUAUUGAAGUCUUUGUGUUCCACAACUGGAUGUUAAGAUACAGGAGUUCCCUUUCCAUUGUAGGGGGAGCUGUGUGAAGGAAGGAGCUAGAGGUGGCAUAUCAGGGGUGGAGAACUGCAAACCAAGGACUGAAGGCUUAAGAAGCAGCGAACACUGAGCCUUAGAGAAGCUGCUGGUGAGAUCCAGGCUAUUGGAAAGCAUCUCCCUGUUAGAUUUCUGACAACAUCUGUGGUUCCUUUGUUCUCUGAGGAGGUCUUGUCCCUCCUUUUGGGCCUAUGCUGUUGUAGAUAAGGAAGUUCUAUCAGUUCAAAAGACAGUGUAUUUGAAUAUCCCCUGCUUCUGUUACUGUUAGUGGCAAUUUCCAGUUCCUGUGAACUGACAGAUUAAAAUGCAUGUGCUUGCACGUACCAUGUGUUCUUCCAGCUGGCUGAAACCACAGUGACGUUUGUAUGUCACUAUCCAGACACCUCUAAGAGCACCUGCCAGCACUUAGCAGAGCCAUUCCCUACCAUGCAGGGAUGGUGGUGUGCUUAGUGCCUGUACCAGCCUAACAGUUUGUUUGUAAAAGGCUCAUUUCUGCCCUACAGCUCUCAUGCUUUUCCUCCAGAGGGAUUCCUGACAGUUCAGCACUUAAACAGUACCUUUCUUCACGCAGCACAGAUCUUCUGUACCUCCUACCAUUCCCAAAAGGUUAGGCUGCCAAGGCUGGGGAUGUCACGUCUCGUACAGAGCAGAGGGCUUUUCCAUGCUAAAGCAGGAUUCCUCCCAGCAGAACAGUGUCAUGCAGCCACAAAACCAAGCUUUCAACCUCACUCAUUCGUUUUACAACUAUCUGAGCUGAGUCCAUUGUCACCCGCUCCCCACUUGUGCUAAUCAUUUCAUUAUCUCUUAAUGAGAGCCUAGAGCUACUGAGAUGAUAUGGUAUCACAGAACUCACAUAAUCCACUUCAAAUUAGUGGAAGUGCAGAACUGAUUAAAACAGUGAGAAGCAAAACACUCCACUUCAGUCAUAGGGGCCAGCACACAUCAACAGAUGACGUUCUAUAGUUUAUACCUGGGGCUGUAACUGGGCCUCUGCUGACAGAUGAAAGCAGUUCCCCCUCAGGUACACACACCCCCAGGAAAACAGUGCCUAGGCUUAGCUGUAGCUUAGCAGAAAGUGGGUGAGAAGCUUUCCAGCCUGGCAGACAUGCAGGGCUCACAGCUGGACGUGCUCUCACUUUCUCACCACUCCUGGCAGGCUGUGGCUGCAUCUGUAAGCAAUCAAGCUGUGCAGAUGCACACCUCAGGUUUUGUGCCUUCCUCUAACGACUUGCUUCCCAGAAGUCAAACUUCAAGAGGUGCCAUACUUGAAAUCAAUUCAGUUUAUAGAAAAGCAGAACAAAGGUACAGCAGUAUCAAAAACAGAGCAGAUAGAGUUGGCAGUCUUAAUUUAUUCAGCUUAAACAAAGAUUUUUUUAAAAAAUAAUCAAUAAAUAAAACAGACAUUACCAAGGGAACACUAUAUUGAGUGGAGUACCAUCAGGGACAUUAAAUAGAACCCCCACACACAGCUUAAAGUAGCUCUCCACGCCCCAAGGAAAGGACGUUCCGUAAGGCCUAACUGUUCACAAACAAGGCUGGCUGCUCUGUGCCAACCUUUGCCUAUUCAUAAUGCCCUAUUCAGAGACGGAGGAUUUGUCACUCUCCUUGCACAAAACACUACUGUUGAAGUGAGGGCUUUGUGUGUUAUUUGCUUGCCACUGGGGGCAAAAGUGCUAAAAUCGUUUAUCCAACCUUACAGAAGAGGGAUGCUUCCAACAGCAGCUGUCCCUCAGGACACGGAUCUGGGAUCUCUGGGCUGACUUGAAAUGCAGUAGGUAGAAGUGGUUACCAGCAAAACCAGAGCUGGACUGGCCCAAAGGAGUUCAAGUACAGCAAAUUGGUUGGAUGCGUUGGGUGAAGCUGAACACGUUGGUACCUUCUUACAGAUAGGGGCAUCAGUAUUCCCACUGAGUACCAGUAAAAGCCCACUAAAGCUGAGGUGUAGUCUGCCUGUCAGACGUUCCAGCUUCGUAUUUCUUUUGCAAACCAUGGGUUUGUUUGUCAAAAAAACCAUAAUUACCCUGAAAACAUAUUAAAUUAUCAGCUAAAGUGCAGGGUCCUUGCAUGGAGGACUGUGCAUCCAUUUAGGCUCCAAAAUAUUGGCUUCAACAGAGCCCAUAAGGACCCCCCCCCAGCCCCAUUAUCAGCAACAAAUCCAGUUUCAGAAAGCAGUGCCUAUAAGACUUCAGGUACACAAAAAUCAACAGCACUUCAGUGAGGUUUCAUGGAAAGAACAGAACAAAUUCCCAUCCUGUAUUACUAACUCUGCAUACGAGAAGCAUCCCUACCCCCAACCACGUCACCCUUCAGUGAAGUACAGACAGGAGCACAACCCCACAAAGCUGUACUUUGGCUACCAAGAAAAGAAGCGCAAACCUUUAGAAAAAUACAAUGCAAGAAAAAAUUUGAGAUAAAAAUAUAGACCUUUGGUUAAAAACCAUCCCUUUAACAAGAGUCCUUUGUAACUCAGCUAGAACAAAAAAAGCUUCACUUAGACUGAACAGUAGUAAAAAUUAGUUCUAAGAGCUAACCCACAGAACCCUCCUCGAAUGUCAGUACGUUGCCUUUUCUUUGCAGGAUUUACACAUUUGAUGUUCAGUAUUUAUAGGGAUUGUUAUAUUUGCAGCAAUAAACUAUAUAAAUUUGUCAUGAAGAGAAUGUAUCACGAGCUCCUCCACCAACAGUCUGUACAAAAACAGUGCUACAAGUUCUUAAUUAAAGAACCGUUGAAACAUGUAGUUUUCUUCAGAUACCAAAUAGCCAAACUUCUUGUAGAAGGCCACGUUUUUUGGCAGACACUCCAGUGUGAUUUUGUAACAGUUCAGUCUCUUACUUAGCAAUGUAAGAGUGGACAUUAAUAGUUUACCGAGCUGCUUUCCUCUGCACUCCCCGCUUAC